AACGUAGGACACGAGCGUUAUCCGGAGUUACUGUGCGUAAAGGGCGUUUAGGCGGGUGACUAAGUUCGCUAUGAAAGCGCCGGGCUAAACCCGGCGAGGCUGGCGGAUACUGGUGAUCUGGAGUGAGGUAGAGGGAAGUAGAAUUCCGCGUGUAGUGGUGAAAUGCGUAGAGAUGCGGAGGAAUACCAGUGGCGAAGGCGACUUCCUGGACCUUAACUGACGCUGAAGCGCGAAAGCAUGGGGAGCGAACGGG
RNAcentral lists this ribosomal RNA (253 nucleotides) under uncultured bacterium. RNAcentral's name for it is "partial 16S ribosomal RNA". It matches the Rfam family "Bacterial small subunit ribosomal RNA", at positions 524 to 776 of the family's 1533-position model. The record is from RNAcentral.